ACUUUAAUUAAAAAUUUAUAUACCGCCAUUCAAAACUAAUUUUAUAAUAAUAUUUUAAAAAAAAAAUAAAAGAUUAGGUCAAGGUGUAAUCUAUAUUUAAGUAUAUAUGGGUUACAUUAAAAAAUUUUAAGGAUUUUUAAUUAAAAAAUUUUUUUAAAAGAGGAUUUAAAGGUAAUAAUAAAAUAAUAUUUUAUUGUGAUUAAGAUAAUAAAUGUGU
RNAcentral lists this ribosomal RNA (217 nucleotides) under Arctosa alluaudi. RNAcentral describes it as "partial 12S ribosomal RNA". The record is from RNAcentral. Lineage: Eukaryota; Metazoa; Arthropoda; Arachnida; Araneae; Lycosidae.